Molecule: ribosomal RNA, 293 nt
Filed under: uncultured bacterium
Lineage: Bacteria
Description: partial 16S ribosomal RNA
Rfam family: Archaeal small subunit ribosomal RNA
Source: RNAcentral
GUGCCAGCAGUCGCGGUAAUACCGGCAGCCCAAGUGAUAACCGAUCUUAUUGGGCCUAAAGCGUCCGUAGCUGGCUGCGCAAGUCCGUCGGGAAAUCCACUCGCCCAACGAGUGGGCGUCCGACGGAAACUGCACAGCUUGGGACCGGAAGGCUCGAAGGGUACGGCCGGGGUAGGAGUGAAAUCCUGUAAUCCCGUCCGGACCACCGAUGGCGAAAGCACUUCGAGAAAACGGAUCCGACAGUGAGGGACGAAAGCUAAGAUCGCGAACCGGAUUAGAAACCCUGGUAGUCC